Molecule: ribosomal RNA, 466 nt
Filed under: Corynebacterium sp. 'ARUP UnID 282'
Lineage: Bacteria; Bacillati; Actinomycetota; Actinomycetes; Mycobacteriales; Corynebacteriaceae
Description: bacterial SSU rRNA
Rfam family: Bacterial small subunit ribosomal RNA
Source: RNAcentral
GGACGAACGCUGGCGGCGUGCUUAACACAUGCAAGUCGAACGGAAAGGCCCUGCUUGCAGGGUACUCGAGUGGCGAACGGGUGAGUAACACGUGGGUGAUCUGCCCUGCACUUCGGGAUAAGCCUGGGAAACUGGGUCUAAUACCGGAUAGGACCAUCGUUUAGUGUCGGUGGUGGAAAGUUUUUUCGGUGUGGGAUGAGCUCGCGGCCUAUCAGCUUGUUGGUGGGGUAAUGGCCUACCAAGGCGUCGACGGGUAGCCKGCCUGAGAGGGUGGACGGCCACAUUGGGACUGAGACACGGCCCAGACUCCUACGGGAGGCAGCAGUGGGGAAUAUUGCACAAUGGGCGCAAGCCUGAUGCAGCGACGCCGCGUGGGGGAUGACGGCCUUCGGGUUGUAAACUCCUUUCAACCAUGACGAAGCUUUCGGGUGACGGUAGUGGUAGAAGAAGCACCGGCUAACUACGU